Molecule: long non-coding RNA, 375 nt
Organism: Diceros bicornis minor
Lineage: Eukaryota; Metazoa; Chordata; Mammalia; Perissodactyla; Rhinocerotidae
Exons: 3
Source: RefSeq, a predicted model, not a curated record
GACACCCUUGUUCAUCCUUUGUGCCCUUCCAGGUCUGUCCCCCACAGUAACCACACUGGAGUGGACUCCCUGUGUACCUUGCCACCUUGGCACAGAGACUGGACAGAGUUGCCAUCUAUGAGGAAUUCCUGUGGCUGAACCAGAAUGGUACCCAGCUGCAGAACUUUACCCUGGACAGGAAGAGUGUCCUUGGGGAUGAAUAUUCUCCCAACAGAGAUGACACCUUGAUUGUGAAGCCUGGUAAGCCUGCAGGAAGCCCCAGCCCAGGGUAGGAGGCGAGUAUCUUGAUGCUGUGCCUCAUCGAAGAGAACCAGGAUGCAGACCAGAAAAUGAGGCUCAGAGCGGCAGUGACUUACCAAAGAUCACACAUCUGGG